This 8898-nucleotide long non-coding RNA is filed under the name Populus tremula. RNAcentral's name for it is "long non-coding RNA (PTRE_LNC003284)". Lineage: Eukaryota; Viridiplantae; Streptophyta; Magnoliopsida; Malpighiales; Salicaceae. The record is from RNAcentral.
UAAAAACUCCAGAAUUGCAGGGAAGGAGUCCUGGGGGGUUGCGUGAACAGUUCCGGCGCGUGGAUCCACGCACCCCGCCACUGGCGGCGCGUGGGUUCACGCGCCGCCGCAAACAAAAACAGGGGACAGGGUGGAUCAGGCUCGGCUUCUCUCCUUCUUCCUCUCCUCACCGGCGGUGAAAGCCCCCGUUAUCUGCAGAACGAAGAAACACACAAAACAGCAGUUGAUUUUAAUUUUUUUCGUUUUCAAUCUGUUCUCUUUGAUCUGCUUCUCUGCAGAUCGGUUCUUUCGGCAUCUUCUUCUUCUCUAAUUCAGGUAGCAGAUCGUAUGCCCAAGGGGUGGCCGGCGGCUGAGCUUCGGUCGUGGCUGUGCAGCGGCCUGUGCUGGUUCGGGCGAGGAUGGCAGUGGGCGCCGCUGUGUCGGGCUGCUACUGGAGGAGAGGAUGGAGCUGGGUCUGCUGUGGUGGCUUGAUGGUGGAGAUCGUAGCUUGAGAGAGAAGGGGUCUCGGCUGAGAGGCAGUCUAUCGGUGGAACGGAGAAGAAGAAAAAUUAAAAGAGAAAUGGGGGGGCUUGAGCUGCGGUGGAGAGGCAGAGGUGGAAGGGGCUGUUUGGUUUGCUGCUGUUUGGGAGAGGUUGAGAGUCAGGGACGAGAGACAGAGGUGGAAGGGGCUGGUCCGGUGCUGAUGAGGAGAAGAUCGGCGUUGUGGGUGGUGCUGGUUUGGGGAAGAAAAGAAAAAUGAAAACGGUGAGGGGGGGCUGUUCGGUUUUGGAGGAGAAGGGAGCUAUGGCUGUGGGGUUUUUUUGAAAAAUGGAGGUCCAGUGGGGGAGAAGGAGAAAAUCUCAAAGGAGCUGGGGAUCGUGGGUCUCUGCCCACUCCUCUCGGGACCCGACGAAAAUGGCUUCCCCCCCUCUCUUGCAAAGCUGGGAAUGAGAAGAAAUAUGGGUUUUUUUUCAUUAUGAGGAGGGCCAACAUGUCGGCGGGAAACAAGGAAAAGAAAACCAUGGGUGGGGGCUCAGUUCAUCAUUUUUAGCCGAAAGAGAGGGAUUAAAUAAUGGUCUUGGGCCAGGGGCAACGGCUAGUUUCGGGUGAAGAGAAAAAAAAUUCUUAGGUUGCCCCUCCUUCCAAAAUUCAAAAUUCCCUUAGGCAAAAAUAUUGUUUCGGCCUCAAAAUUGGUCCCUUAAUUUUCUUUUUUUUGUAAAAUUUGAUUUUUCUUGUUUUUUUUUUUUUUUGUAUUUUUUUGAAAACGAGCAAUAUCAACGUCGACUCAAAUACGAAAAAUCAAUUAUUUUGAAAAUGACGCGUGAAAAGUCGAACGCAUUCGAAAGACCCUUAAAAAUUAAAAAAAAAAUUUAGACAACGUUGAAAAUGCUAAAAUGACAAAAAUAUAUUAAAAACAUAUUUUUUUGGAUUUUCUUUGUUUUUCUCUAUUUUUGGAUUUUUUUGAAAAUAUAUCAAAAACAUGGGUCAAAAAUUGGGUAGCAACAGAUGCCCCCUCUUUACAAUGCUUACGAAGCAAAAAUCCUCGAUGUUUUGCAUAGUAAGCUUUGUAAAGAAAAACUUGUCUUUCUAUUUUCUCAAUAUCCACUUCAUCAGCAAUCUUCCUUUUUUUUUUUCUUUUUUUUUAUUAUCCUGAGAUCCCAUCUGGCGACCUCCUUUAAACAAAACCAAAGAAUGUGUGUAACUCGGUCAACUUGAAAUCCCAUAUGGAGAUUCCCUUUAACCAAAGCCACAUGAGAUCCCAUCUGGCGACCUCAUUCAACUGGAACAAAAGAAUGUGUAAAAAGCGGUCUCAUUAUAAUGGGUGACCUACCCAAGUGUAAAGGGGGAAGAGUGGUCUCAUUCUUUGGGUGACCUACCCAGGGGGAGGAAUGGCCUCAUUCUUAUGGGUGACCUACCCAGGUAAAAAAAAUGGAGAAUGGUCUCAUUCUUUGGGUGACCUACCCAGAAAAAAUGGUGGUCUCAUUGUGGGUGACCUACCCAAGUGGAAAAAAAGAGUGGUCUCAUUCUUUGGGUGACCUACCCAGGGGAGGAAUGGCCUCAUUCUUAUGGGUGACCUACCCAGGUAAAAAAAAUGGAGAAAUGGUCUCAUUCUAAUGGUGACCUACCCAGAAAAAUGGUGGUCUCAUUGUGAUGGGUGACCUACCCAAGUGGAAAAAAUGUGAAGAGUGGUCUCAUUUUUGGGUGACCUACCCAGGGAGGAAUGGUCUCAUUGUAUGGGUGACCUACCCAGGAAAAAAUGAGAAGUGGUCUCAUUGUAAUGGGUGACCUACCCAGAAAAAAUGAUGAAGUGGUCUCAUUGUGAUGGGUGACCUACCCAGAUGGAAAAAAUGUGAAGUGCGGUCUCAUUGUAAUGGGUGACCUACCCAGAUGGAAAAAAUUGAUGAACGGUCUAUUGUGAUGGGCGACCUACCCAGAUGGAAAAAUGUGAUAUGACAAGUGUGAAAAAUAGGACUUACCUGGCGAAGUCCUGAGGGGAUGACAGAAGAAGGGCUGGAAAACUUGGUGCUUCCUGAUAAUUCCCGAUCAUAGGGUUUGAAAACUCGGUGUUUCCUGACUGCAAGGGUUGAAAACUCGAGGCUUCCCGAUUGCAAGGUUGAUCUUUCAUUUCUUUGGGAUUUUCCUAAUGGUAAGGUUUAUCCCAUCGUCCUUUUAUUCCAUGAUCAAAACCGAUUCUUUAUUAUCAUCACCACAAUGCUUCUUUCUUUUCCACCAUCUUGCUGGACCUCAUUAAGGAUUUUCCUGUAACAAUUCAAAAAUAUGUGCAAAUGGUUUUUUUUUUUUUUUUUAGGUUAGAUGAUAUGCAUGCAUCCUUACCUGAUUUGAAAUAUAGGUCCCCCCCUCCUUGAUGCUCCAUCGUCAUAGGGUGCCCUUGUUUGCAUCCCAAAGCUUUCUUUGUUCUUCGAUGCAUUGGCUCAUUCAUGUGCUAGCCAUCCACUCAGCUGUAAAUGCAGUGCCCAUCCCGGGCUGUCUUCGACAAUUACUGCUCGCAUCGCUCAUCAAGCUUGACAAUGCCCCCAAGUGUUGUGCUUGAUUCAUCAUGAAGAUUUUCUCUCUUGGAUUCUUCUGAGAAUUAUCCUUUGAUUGAUUGUGUGCAUCAUGCCAACACCCAUCAAGAUUGUUAAUCAGUCAUGAACUUGCCUUCGGUUGAAACACCAUUCAAGUAUGUAUGGUCACCAGCCUUCAUGGAACUGCCAAGUCAUCCAGACAUGGAUCUCAUGCUUUGCAGUAAACAGCUCAUCAUUGUAAGCGCGAUGUAUUUCUCUAUGGAUUCCUCUUAGCUUGUCAAAUCAGAUCGUGAAAAUAACUGCUUUGGCAUCAUCAAUGAUGUUCAUGUUAUCACCCAUAUUCAUGCGGUGAAGUGCGCAUUUGAGCUUCAGAAUAGAUGGUCCCAUAGUCAAUCUUAGUGGUAUGCAUAUGUUCGAUGUUCAUUCAAAUGCACUCACCCGAUAACAUCUGUCAGGAGUCAUAGCCAUGUUUUACAGGUAACCCAAGAUGAAGAUAUGAAAAUAUCCUUCAAGUGCAGCGUUGCUCAUCAAUUGCUGCUGAAGUGCACUAGAUCAUGGAUUGUCUUUGAACAACAUUGCCCCUAUGAUCUGAAUGCUCAUUCUUCUGUUUACAAACAAAUGGCUUUUGUGAAUGCCAGAUGACUUUGUGACUUUGAUGACUCAUCAUGUGAUUCUUUCUUUGCCCCCAGCUGAUCUGGAUAUUGUUUGCUUUUCUUCUAAGGGUCCACUGUAUUGCCCCCAGGUGGUCAACGUUUCAAGGAGUGUCGAGAAAUGUUGAUGUCAUUUUUGUCGAGGAUUUUGCAAACUCAACUGAUGUUCUUGUUUGAAAAUCUUUCUUGUUCUGGAAUCAAAUCUCACAUUUCAACGAUCAUGUCUAUUCAAGUCUAAUUGUUGAAAUGAAAUCAGAGAGAUGUCUGUUUUUGAAAUUUUUUUUUUUUUGAAAUUCAAACUUCUUUGGUCAAAGACCCAACACACUAUUCAAUGCAGUCCUUUGAUUGUCUUGUUUUGAAAACAGAAAUGACCCGUUGUAAGAUUUAAAAUGACUUUUUCAUGGUUCUUUGUGUCCACUUUAAACUCUGAUUUUGGGUAUAUCUUUUGAUGGUCUGUGAUGAGGUGACAUUUUUAUGAAUUUCAAAAACAAGAUGCUCAGGCUUUAUCAAGAAAGGUUGUUUCUUUUCUUAGCAUUUAUUUUAUCAGCAUGCAUAAUAACCAGUAGCUUAAUUCAUGAAGUCACGACCCUUAUGGAAAAACUCUUCAAGUUUUGAGAGCGCCAUUUAUCGAUUCAAAUUGCUUGCUUGAUUAAAAAGGGCUUUUAAAAGCACGUAAUGCAGGCUAUGGUUCAUGGCUAUGAAAGAAAAGAAUUUCAAAGGCUCAAAAGGUGUUUGAGGGUUUCAAACCUAGGAUCAACAUCAAUUAUUCAUCGAUCUCUUUCUCUUGUGUCAUUGUAGAGAAAGACAUAUAACCUUGUUAAUCUCAAAUAUCAGAAUUCUCUUAACAUAGGUCAUAAUCCAACUUUUCUUUGAUGAAUAACAAUCUAAUUUUGAAGACAUUAGAGGCUUUAUCCUAGACACACCAAAAGAUAUGAAGCAUCGAUUUUUCUAGUGUUGACUUUUGGCAUUUAUUGUCUUUUCUCAUUUGAAAGUUGUCUUGCCUCUCUUAGAAUUGGUAGGCAUUUUCUUUCAUUUCCUCAAAGUUUUUCUUGGAUGGCCCUCAAUCUAUGGAUUUUCUUCUUCUAGCCCUUUCUCAAACAUUGGACUUUUAUUCUAAGCUUUUCUUUGAUCCAUUGAUUUUACCCGUGUCUCCAAAAUAUUUCUCAUUUGCCCCCAGUGUGGGGUGUGAUCCUAGUCAGGGUUUUUAUAAAAACAUAUUCUAUCCAGCUCAAAAUGGGACUACAAGGGAGAUAAUUUUUUUUUAGAAAGUGACAGGAUAUCGAAGAUGGCCUUUUCUCAUUUCAAGCAAGGUCGGUUAGAACCGAUAAAUUUUGACCUCAUCUAGUGUAAUGAUUUGGACUUGUAAGAGUCAUGAUUCACGAGUCCAUAGCUACCGAAACCACUACAUGUCAUUAUGCAUACUGUUAAAACUUGGCUAUAUAAUGUGUGGUUCAAACUUGUGCGUGAGCUCAAAAAUUGGUUUGGUCACCUCAUGUCAUUUCAACAAGAAUCGAGUCAUUUUUGCAAUCAAAACACUUUUAAUCUUCAGGAUUGAUUAGCCUUUAUUUCAUGUUGGAGUUUGAUCAAACAUUUUGUCAAAAUAAAAUGUUAAACAUCUGUUGAUUUCAAAACAACAAAAAGACAAGAGCAAGGCAUGUUUCGUUGAAGGAUGAGAUGUGAUCCCAAAACAAAAUGCAGAAUUCCAAAACAAUAUGAUUGACUGUUCAUCACCAUUCUUGAAUCAGCUUUUCUGGCAAUAUUUGCGUUUUGCCGAGCACUUCCGAUCACUUGUCAUUCUGAAAAUGAUUGAUGACAUCAUCUUUCGCAAAUUGAGCUCAACUCUUGAAACUCUUGCAUCUGCUUAACUAAAAUGGCCGAGGACCCCCACCAUGACAACACAUCUGUUGUCCAGGUUGAACCACCUGGAAAAUAGUGGUUACAUGGGAUUUGUCGGAGUCAAGCAAAAUUCUGGAAUCUGGCAGAUGUUGGUCCACAAACUUAAGUGGCAGAGGAAUGUCAAUCUUGGCAAAGACAUUUGAGCAAUUGAUGCUUGAGCGAGACUUGACUAGGCAAAAUAACUGAGGUUUCUCAAUCGAGAGUCAUCUUCUGAUUCAACUCUUUUCACAGUUCUGGAAUCCAUAACAAGACCUUCAAUCCUUCACUUUUUCAUAGCUCACUCAAUUCUUUCGAUGAUCUUCAUAACAUCAUGUCAAUCUUUCAAUGUUGUUGUUGUUGUUCUAGGAUUGUUGGAAACCUCUUAAUAGCUAGGUAAUCCCAGCAGCGCAUGAAAACAAAAACAUGUGGAAUCACAUAUUGUCAAAACUGGAAGAGAGCUUGAUAAAUCUAAAACUCCUUUGUCCCCUCUUCAAUUUCUCACUGACAGUGCAGCAAACAAACACCUAUAGAGGAAGUCCUGCUCUGUUGAAGUUUCAGUAUUCUUCAUGUUUUUCAGUCUAGGCAUGUCUCUUCUCUAUACUUUUGCGUUUUAGUACUAACACUGUUUGGAGGAAAAUCAUAGAUGAUCUGAAACUACUAUGUUCUUUCUUGGAUUUCCCACUUGCGGAUCCACAAACAGAUUCCUGCCGAGAGAGCUCUGUUACGUUAAAGUUUGAUGUCUGCUCAUAUUUUUCAGACCAGGUCUGGCUCUUCGACCUACUAAGAGGUCUUCGUGCUGAAACUGAUGAGAGAAAUAUUUGUAGCAUAUGCAACUUAUAAAUCCCCUCUUGCAUUCCUAAUUUGCAGAGCCAUAAAUGGAUUUUUGUAGAGAGAGCUCUGUCACGUAGAAGUUCAGUGUUUAAUCAUGGUUUUUCAGACCAACAUCUUGUGCUGCUGAAAUGGAAUUGAGCUUAUAAUUGGGGUAGCUUCAAAGAAGACUAAUGCACCAUGUACAGGAGACCGAUAGUGGUUUGGUUCCAUUAGAUGAUGUGGAGGCGAUGAACACUUAACAGUGCAACUGGACAAGAACUAGAGUUGUCAUUAGUUAAUGACUGAAGGCAUUGCUGCUGUUGUUCAUGACUGAAAAGGAGAGGCAGCUUCAAUUGGACGUGGACAAGCAGUGUUCCCACAGAAGACUGUGCAGACAUUCUCUUUCCAUUUGAUGCUCAACACUUGUUCGAGCAGAUCUGAGUCCAACUAUUUCACCUUUGAUGCUCUCAAACUCAAACUGAUAAUGAGCCUCUAUCUGACACCUUUCUUCACCUCCAUCAUUUUUCUUCAAUCACGUGCAGCACAGCUCGUGCAGGGGAACCUACUUUUCAACCCGGUACAUGCAUGAUAAAUGUAUGAACAUGUAAUCUAUAUGACGAACUCACCCUUCGAGGGGUGACAAUAUGAUCGUAACUCUUGUAUGAUGGACAAGAAUCGUGAUUUUUGCCCAAACUCUACAAUGAAAAUUUUCGGAGUGACGGCCAAUGUGUCACCCACAAGUCUUGAGUUCAAGAUGCUUCAAGAAGGGUUUGCUCGGAUGCAAAACAAUAGCACAUACAUCCUAAAGACAGGCUCUAUUCAUUUUACGUGAGACAGGGUAGGUUUGCUACUUGGUCUCUAAAAGGGUCUCUUGUUGUCCCAGUGAUCGCCUUCGUAAAGGCAAUAUAGGGGCCCAGCAGGUAAUUGGUUGGCACGUGUCCAACUAUUACCAGUCUAAGCACUCAACAAAGAGUUGGGGUUUACACAAACUUAAACCUUGACUCAAGUCGUAAGGUAAGCUGCUAGUCCCCCACCUAACCUAAAGCUGGUGUGUGCUUUCAAAAAUUAAAACUUGUGAUGCAUGAGAGAAAUAUAUACAAUGCAUGAAUAAAACAAAAAUAAAUAAAACAAAACAAAAAAUAAAAAAUAAAAAAAAAUAAAAAUAAAACACAUCAAAACACAAAGCUUAGUCCGAUAAAGUUGAAAACAAUACUUGUCCCCAGUGGAGUCGCCAUUCUGUUGCACCCCAAAAAAUGUAAAAUCGGAUCCGGCGCGCGGCAUCGGGCUGGCGAUUUUUCUUGUUUUUGCGUUUGCUUUGAAUUUGUUCGUUGGAGUCGCCACCUAGUAAUUCAUUGAGGGCUACUAGGAAACCUGAUGUACUGGUCUUGUCAGAGAUCGCGGAUAAGGGACUGGUUGUGGUUAGGGAAGGUAUUAGCACCCCUAACACACCCUACCUGAGGUAAGUUGCAUUGUGUUCUGAUGUGAUUUGAAAAUUUAAAAUAUUAAUUAAAUUCUAAGGCUUGAAUAAAUUAGUUAUUAAAUCCCAGAAUAUAUGUAAAAACUUAUUCUUACAUUUUCAUGGAAAAUACAACUUGAUUUUAUUUGUCCUUGAGAUAUUUAACCAUAUUUAAGAAAAUUUAAAAUAUUAAUUAAAUUCUAAGGCUUGAAUAAAUCAGUUAUUGAAUCCCCGAAUAUAUGUAAAAAAACUUGUUCUUACAUUUUCGUGGAAAAUACAACUUGAUUUUAUUUAUCCUUAAGAUAUUUAAUCAUAUUUAAAUUAACAAUUAAUUCUUUUUAUCCUUCUUUUAUUUUUACAAUUUAAUAACAUAAAUAAAAAUACAAACAAGCACACAUCUCUUUUUAUUAUUUAUUUUCUUUUAUUUUCUUCUUUUUUUUCUUUUACAUUCACAUAUUACAAAUUUAAAAUAAAUAAACAAAAAUUACAUUAAAACUUUAAAAUUUACAAAAUGGUCCCUAAAAACUCCAGAAUUGCAGGGAAGGAGUCCUGGGGGGUUGCGUGAACAGUUCCGGCGCGUGGAUCCACGCACCCCCGCCACUGGCGGCGCGUGGGUUCACGCGCCGCCGCAAACAAAAACAGGGGACAGGGUGGAUCAGGCUCGGCUUCUCUCCUUCUUCCUCUCCUCACCGGCGGUGAAAGCCCCCGUUAUCUGCAGAACGAAGAAACACACAAAACAGCAGUUGAUUUUAACUUUUUUUGUUUUCAAUCUGUUCUCUUUGAUCUGCUUCUCUGCAGAUCGGUUCUUUCGGCGUCUUCUUCUUCUCUAAUUCAGGUAGCAGAUCGUAUGCCCAAGGGGUGGCCGGCGGCUGAGCUUCGGUCGUGGCUGUGCAGCGGCCUGUGCUGGUUCGGGCGAGGAUGGCAGUGGGCGCCGCUGUGUCGGGCUGCUACUGGAGGAGAGGAUGGAGCUGGGUCUGCUGUGGUGGCUUGAUGGUGGAGAUCGUAGAGCUUGAGAGAGAAGGGGUCUCGGCUGAGAGGCAGUCGAUCGGUGGAACGGAGAAGAAGAAAAAUUAAAAGAGAAAUGGGGGGGGCUUGAGCUGCG